This is a non-coding RNA of Pelobates cultripes (western spadefoot toad), 307 nucleotides long. The record is from the annotation of a GenBank genome assembly. NCBI's taxonomy places the organism in Eukaryota, Metazoa, Chordata, Amphibia, Anura, Pelobatidae.
UGUCUUUCUCUCUAUAGUACUCUCUAUAAUGCUACGUAGGGACCUUACCACUAGUGGAAUUAGACAGGGCAGGAGGAGGCACAAAAAAAAUAAUAAAUUCUACUCCUCCUACUAAUGUCUUAAUUCCUCCAAGCUGCUCAUACCAACUUCCAAACCAACUACUUAGGUUAUACCCAUUCCAGACCUGAGUAGGUACAUGCUCAAAUUUAACCAUGUGGCUUGUAAGUUCAGCCACUGCCUGCCCUUCAUCAUCUAUGUGCAGACAACAGUUACUUAGAUUAAACUUUCCGCAUACACCUCCUUCUAC